This is a long non-coding RNA of Culex pipiens pallens (northern house mosquito), 450 nucleotides long. RefSeq lists it as uncharacterized. The record is from RefSeq and is a predicted model, not a curated record. The transcript is spliced from 2 exons. NCBI's taxonomy places the organism in Eukaryota, Metazoa, Arthropoda, Insecta, Diptera, Culicidae.
UUGACAUGUGGGCUGGGGUCAUCCCGCCAAACAAAUCGUAGCAAACUCUGGGUUGCGUAGGAAAAAACAGUUUGUCAAAAGUUUUCUGUUUUUGUUGGAGCUGGAAGUUUUUUCGGUGAUCGGAGUAUUUUCAUGGACCUACCAGUUAAAAUUAGAAAUUCCGGCCGGUGACUUCAGGGAAGCAAUUAACUGAAAUGAUAAAUAUCAUUGGAUAAAACUUGCCUCUGGAUGCCAGGACAAGGCCUCACAGACAAAUUCAGUGGCAUCCUGAAGUAAUUUGUCCUCAAUUUCCAUCAGGAUUCGACAAUUUUUACAGAAGAAAACAGAAAACAGACAUAAGAAAACAGAAGACAACUAAACAAAUGAAUAGAAUCGUCCUGAAUGGUUUAUCUGGAACUUGAUCUGGAUUAUCUUGUUAAAUUCAAAGAAAAAUAAAUAUUGUCUACUGUU